RNAcentral lists this ribosomal RNA (540 nucleotides) under uncultured archaeon. RNAcentral describes it as "bacterial SSU rRNA". It matches the Rfam family "Archaeal small subunit ribosomal RNA", at positions 460 to 997 of the family's 1478-position model. The record is from RNAcentral.
AGCCGCCGCGGUAACACCGGCGGCCCGAGUGGUGAUCGUGAUUAUUGGGUCUAAAGGGUCCGUAGCCGGUUUGGUCAGUCCUCCGGGAAAUCUGAUAGCUCAACUAUUAGGCUUUCGGGGGAUACUGCCAGACUUGGAACCGGGAGAGGUAAGAGGUACUACAGGGGUAGGAGUGAAAUCUUGUAAUCCCUGUGGGACCACCUGUGGCGAAGGCGUCUUACCAGAACGGGUUCGACGGUGAGGGACGAAAGCUGGGGGCACGAACCGGAUUAGAUACCCGGGUAGUCCCAGCCGUAAACGAUGCUCGCUAGGUGUCAGGCAUGGCGCGACCGUGUCUGGUGCCGCAGGGAAGCCGUGAAGCGAGCCACCUGGGAAGUACGGCCGCAAGGCUGAAACUUAAAGGAAUUGGCGGGGGAGCACAACAACGGGUGGAAGCCUGCGGUUUAAUUGGACUCAACGCCGGACAACUCACCGGGGGCGACAGCAAUAUGUAGGCCAAGCUCGAAGACUUUGCCUGAAUCGCUGAGGGGAGGUGCAUGG